Triticum aestivum (bread wheat) is the source of this 124-nucleotide non-coding RNA. Lineage: Eukaryota; Viridiplantae; Streptophyta; Magnoliopsida; Poales; Poaceae. The record is from Rfam.
AUCCCGGAUUAACUUGCUUAGCUGUUCUUCUGAUUCAUGGGAGGCCAAAACUGAUGUCUGGGAGUUUCGCUGAUAGCGCCUCGUUACUACUGGAGGUGCUUCAUUAGUAACUUGCCACACAGAC